AUGAACGCUGGCGGCGUGUUUAAGGCAUGCAAGUCGAGGGACCUAGCUUGCUAGGAACCGGCAGACGGGAGCGUAACACAUUGGUAACCUACCUCGAGCUCGUGAAUAACUCGGUGAAAACCGAACUAAUACACGAUAUGGAUGGGGAGUCUUCGGACAUUCCCAUUGAAAGCUUCGGCGGCACGAGAGGGGCCUAUGUUCUAUCAGCUAGUUGGUGAGGUAAUGGCUCACCAAGGCUACGACGGAUACCGGGCGUGAGAGCGUGGCCCGGCUCACUGGGACUGAGACACUGCCCAGACACCUACGGGUGGCUGCAGUCGAGAAUAUUCGGCAAUGGGCGAAAGCCUGACCGAGCGACGCCGCGUGCAGGAUGAAGGCCUUCGGGUCGUAAACUGCUUUUAUUAGGGACGAACAAAUGACGGUACCUAAUGAAUAAGAGGUUGCUAACUCUGU
Molecule: ribosomal RNA, 453 nt
Filed under: uncultured bacterium
Lineage: Bacteria
Description: bacterial SSU rRNA
Rfam family: Bacterial small subunit ribosomal RNA
Source: RNAcentral